Molecule: long non-coding RNA, 2055 nt
Organism: Salvia splendens (bonfire salvia)
Lineage: Eukaryota; Viridiplantae; Streptophyta; Magnoliopsida; Lamiales; Lamiaceae
Exons: 2
Source: RefSeq, a predicted model, not a curated record
CAUCGGUAUUGUUCCUCUUCCCAAAACACUUUCCCAAAAUCAAAUCCCUAAAAUUUGAGGAGAAGCAGCGGCUCUUCCCCUCUUCUUCUCUCGGCGACAACGCACUGGCUGCCGGAGUCUCAUCGGCGUAUGGCCCCCCCCCCCCUUAUUUCCUUCUCUUUUCUUCCUCAACACUUAUCUUCAAAACAAGCCCCAAAUUUAGAGAACACAGGAGCACGCCUUUCUUCCUCUGCGAAAUUGCCGCUACCUCGACGGAUUUUCGGAGUCCCGUCGGCGGGUACUCCCUCCUCAAUCGUGUUAUCUCCUUCCAUCGAGUUCGGAGUAGUCCUCGGCUGCUCGACGAGCAGGGCUGCGGCCUGCUACGUCGCUCGGCGCCAGCCAUCGCCGCCUCCGUGUUCCGGCUCGUGUUACGAUCACAAAUUGUAGAAACAAAAGAAAAGCACUCAGCUAGAGACACAUGUUUGUUAACGUGCAUAACAACUUAUAUGCCAGCUGGUGGGCCACGUCAGCUCAAAUAGAAAGGGGAGAGAAGGCAGAUCUGAGGAGUAUAAAUACGGAGACCAUCUUCUUCAAUUGCAUCCAUGAGAAUUGUGUGAGCUUGCGAGCUGUGGUCAUCGUGAGAAUUUGGUGAUUCGGUGAUUCUCCGUUGAAUGUAUCGUGUACAUUCUAUCCUUCUUCCUUGAGUGGUUUUAGUUAUCCUAUCAUUGUAUCUCUUGUUCUAUUUACAUUUGAAGUUCCAUUUGUGUAAUACUCAUCAUCAAUGUAGUUCCUAUUCGUUUGUUCUAUCGAUUUGUGUCUUUGAUUUUGGGUUAAGUUGCAUCAAAUCAUGGAGGUGGUGAUCGAUUGGAGUUCGUUGUGUGGUUAUUACUUUGAUAAUAGAAAAAAGAUGCAACAAUUGGUAUCAGAGCCGUCGAUCCUCGGAGGGGAAAGACGACUUGAAUCACAGCAGUUCGAUACAGGAAUCACGGAGAAUCGAAGGAAGCUGGAAUCACAACAAUCCAAUGCUUGAUGGGAGAAGAAUAUGCAACUACUUCGAAAUAUCAUCUCCUCGAAGCCUGGGGGAGAAGUUGCAGCUGCAGAUAAGGAAUCAUCACGUGUUGAAGAAGAGGAUCAACAAAUAGGGAUCCUAUGGCAAAAAUUGGAGGCUCACUGUGAGGCUCAUUGGCGUCGCAUGGAUGCUAAAUUCGACGCACUGAAGAAAGCAAUUCUAGAUCUAAGCAUCUCGAGCCAAGGUCGAUCGAUGGAGACAACGAAUGCGAACUCCAGCAGCUAUUGCAACACUGAUUUUGAGCAAUUGGAGUGUAAUCGGUCUCCAGUGCAGAAAACAGAGGAGCUUGAACUGCCGCAAGUCGAUCGCCCCAGAUCUGACAACCUUAAAUCACGAGACGAAGGUUGGGACGUCCACCAAGCAAUAGCAACGAUGGAUCUGGACUCCGACAGCCAUGAAUCUCAAGUGGUACAGACCGACGGAAGCUUGGGGAAUCAAAAGGAAGUGAUGGAAAUUUUGGAUUAUCCAGUAAGAAAUUUGGUGACAGUGUUGGAGCUUCCCAAAAUUGCCCAGAAGGGUUCGAUGAGAUGACAUCGUGGAAUGGGGCGAGAAUGACAGUAAAUGGCAUUGAUUCAGAGCUUUACUUUUUGAGUUCAUCGCUAGAAUCAAAGAACUAUCCAAAAGUGGAGAAGUCUGGGAAAGAAUCGGAGGAAUUUGGAUCGCAAAAUCAGAGAAGCUUCCUUCAAUCAAGUGCUCGAGGAAAUGCCCAAAAGGUACCAUGGCUGCAUAUUUGGAGUAUUAUGGAGGUGGAAAUCGAGAGAGAAGAGAGGGUGGAAUCUUGCUCACAUCAUCCUCCAUGCCUACUUCCUAAAGUAGCAACUUUCAUCACCUUGGUUCUUGUUUCUUGUGGGGGAAUUGCUUCUAAACGUGCAUAGUUGUAAGUAUAGCUUAGGGUGAGUUGUCUCUUUUCACUCACAUAUUCCAACUUGUAUAGUAUGUAUCGUAUCUUAAUACACACAUAUAUAUCCCACAUUUCUUAAUAAAAGUAUUUACCUCAUUUUUCCAUA